This 66-nucleotide transfer RNA is filed under the name bovine gut metagenome. It matches the Rfam family "tRNA". From Rfam's summary of the family: Transfer RNA (tRNA) molecules are approximately 80 nucleotides in length. The record is from RNAcentral.
GGGAAUAGUUCAAGGGUAGAGCGUCGGUCUCCAAAACCGUUAAUGAGGGUUCGAUUCCUUCUUCCC